GUCAUGGGGGUCUACCAUGCAAGUCGAACGAUGAACCGGUUUCGGCCGGGGAUUAGUGGCGAACGGGUGAGUAACACGUGGGCAAUCUGCCCUGCACUCUGGGACAAGCCCUGGAAACGGGGUCUAAUACCGGAUAUGACUACCGACCGCAUGGUCUGGUGGUGGAAAGCUCCGGCGGUGCAGGAUGAGCCCGCGGCCUAUCAGCUUGUUGGUGGGGUGAUGGCCUACCAAGGCGACGACGGGUAGCCGGCCUGAGAGGGCGACCGGCCACACUGGGACUGAGACACGGCCCAGACUCCUACGGGAGGCAGCAGUGGGGAAUAUUGCACAAUGGGCGGAAGCCUGAUGCAGCGACGCCGCGUGAGGGAUGACGGCCUUCGGGUUGUAAACCUCUUUCAGCAGGGAAGAAGCGCAAGUGACGGUACCUGCAGAAGAAGCGCCGGCUAACUACGUGCCAGCAGCCGCGGUAAUACGUAGGGCGCAAGCGUUGUCCGGAAUUAUUGGGCGUAAAGAGCUCGUAGGCGGCUUGUCGCGUCGGAUGUGAAAGCCCGGGGCUUAACCCCGGGUCUGCAUUCGAUACGGGCAGGCUAGAGUUCGGUAGGGGAGAUCGGAAUUCCUGGUGUAGUAAAAAAAAA
RNAcentral lists this ribosomal RNA (635 nucleotides) under Actinomycetales bacterium A270. Its description in RNAcentral is "bacterial SSU rRNA". It matches the Rfam family "Bacterial small subunit ribosomal RNA", at positions 41 to 688 of the family's 1533-position model. The record is from RNAcentral. Lineage: Bacteria; Bacillati; Actinomycetota; Actinomycetes; Actinomycetales.